UGUGGUGUUCAUACUAAUAGUGGAUAUACCUGUUCCCAUCCCGAACACAGAAGUCAAGCACUAUUGGGCCGAAGGUAGUUAACGCAAGAAUAGGUUAUGCCACGC
Molecule: ribosomal RNA, 105 nt
Filed under: Mycoplasmataceae bacterium
Lineage: Bacteria; Bacillati; Mycoplasmatota; Mollicutes; Mycoplasmatales; Mycoplasmataceae
Source: RNAcentral